Molecule: ribosomal RNA, 493 nt
Filed under: uncultured bacterium
Lineage: Bacteria
Description: partial 16S ribosomal RNA
Rfam family: Bacterial small subunit ribosomal RNA
Source: RNAcentral
GACGAACGCUGGCGGCGUGCUUAACACAUGCAAGUCGAACGGUGAAGGGACCGGUUUUUGCUGGUUCUGGAUGAGUGGCGAACGGGUGAGUAACACGUGAGUAACCUGCCCCCUUCUUCUGGAUAACCGCAUGAAAGUGUGGCUAAUACGGGAUAUUCUGCGCCUGCUGCAUGGUGGGUGUGGGAAAGAUAUUGUUUCGGUGGGGGAUGGGCUCGCGGCCUAUCAGCUUGUUGGUGGGGUGAUGGCCUACCAAGGCGGUGACGGGUAGCCGGCCUGAGAGGGUGGACGGUCACACUGGGACUGAGACACGGCCCAGACUCCUACGGGAGGCAGCAGUGGGGAAUAUUGCACAAUGGGCGCAAGCCUGAUGCAGCGACGCCGCGUGAGGGAUGGAGGCCUUCGGGUUGUAAACCUCUUUCGCCAGUGAAGCAGGCCUGUCCCUUUUGUGGGUGGGUUGACGGUAGCUGGAGAAGAAGCGCCGGCUGACUACGUG